Molecule: unclassified non-coding RNA, 245 nt
Filed under: plant metagenome
Description: partial contains small subunit ribosomal RNA and internal transcribed spacer 1
Rfam family: Eukaryotic small subunit ribosomal RNA (bases 1-46)
Source: RNAcentral
AAGUCGUAACAAGGUUUCCGUAGGUGAACCUGCGGAAGGAUCAUUACAGUAUUCUUUUGCCUGCGCUUUAAAUUUGCGCGGCGAAAAAACCUUUACACACUAUGUUUUUCAAUUUUGAAACUUUUUGCUUUGGUCUGCCUUAGAAAUAAGUUGGGCCAAAGGUUUACACCAAACUUCAAUAUUUAUAUUGAAUUGUUAUUUUAAUAUUUGUCAAUUUGUUGAUUAACUCAAAAAUUCUUCAAAAC